This 24-nucleotide ribosomal RNA is filed under the name Aeribacillus pallidus. RNAcentral's name for it is "partial 23S ribosomal RNA". The record is from RNAcentral. Lineage: Bacteria; Bacillati; Bacillota; Bacilli; Caryophanales; Bacillaceae.
GGUUAAGUUAGAAAGGGCGCACGG